UAAGACUCAAAUCAAACCAGUAACCAUGGUGGAGAAACAGAUUCCAAGAGCUAGGGGCAAGAAACACCAAUAAAUGAAAGGGCAUUAACGUUCAUCAUCCACCCUACCAUGAGAGGUUUCAGUGUGCUUAUAGCAACCCACAUGAUCCACAGCACCAAGGAAUGACAUAUCCGGCCAAAGCAGUCAACUCCACCUCCACCAAAUAGAGAUCGACAGUAGAUCAAAACCAGUGCUCAAUAUGCAAAUCAACUACCCCAAGGACCAAAGGCCACCGAUUUAAGAGAUCUAUACAAAAACGAGCGUUUGUUGGCGGCUCUCUUUCUUUCUUUUUUUUUUUACUUGCAUUUUACAAAUCAAUGUGCUUUAUAACAGUCCUAGUGUGAAUAUUUUACUCUGACUAUGCUGCAUCUA
This 411-nucleotide long non-coding RNA is filed under the name Prunus persica (peach). Its description in RNAcentral is "long non-coding RNA (PPER_LNC001275)". The record is from RNAcentral. Lineage: Eukaryota; Viridiplantae; Streptophyta; Magnoliopsida; Rosales; Rosaceae.